UACGGAGGAUGCAAGCGUUAUCCGGAUUCAUUGGGUUUAAAGGGUGCGCAGGCGGAGAGAUAAGUCAGUGGUGAAAAACUGCCUCUCAACGGUAGUCUUGCCAUUGAUACUGUCUUUCUUGAGUAUGGAUGAGGUAGGCGGAAUGUGCAGUGUAGCGGUGAAAUGCAUAGAUAUUGCACGGAACACCAAUUGCGAAGGCAGCUUACUGGACCAUUACUGACGCUCAGGCACGAAGGCGUGGGGGAU
RNAcentral lists this ribosomal RNA (246 nucleotides) under uncultured prokaryote. RNAcentral describes it as "partial 16S ribosomal RNA". It matches the Rfam family "Bacterial small subunit ribosomal RNA", at positions 524 to 769 of the family's 1533-position model. The record is from RNAcentral.